This 23-nucleotide small nuclear RNA is filed under the name Arabidopsis thaliana (thale cress). RNAcentral describes it as "snRNA_15280". The record is from RNAcentral. Lineage: Eukaryota; Viridiplantae; Streptophyta; Magnoliopsida; Brassicales; Brassicaceae.
ACCAAGUUUGGAGCCAAAACAAG